GAUAGUUUAAUUGGUAAAAUAACGGUCUCCAAAACCGUAGUUCGAGGUUCGAAUCCUUGUCAUCGU
This 66-nucleotide transfer RNA is filed under the name Empedobacter sp. GD03797. Its description in RNAcentral is "tRNA-Trp". It matches the Rfam family "tRNA", at positions 6 to 65 of the family's 71-position model. From Rfam's summary of the family: Transfer RNA (tRNA) molecules are approximately 80 nucleotides in length. Their secondary structure includes four short double-helical elements and three loops (D, anti-codon, and T loops). Further hydrogen bonds mediate the characteristic L-shaped molecular structure. tRNAs have two regions of fundamental functional importance: the anti-codon, which is responsible for specific mRNA codon recognition, and the 3' end, to which the tRNAs corresponding amino acid is attached (by aminoacyl-tRNA synthetases). tRNAs cope with the degeneracy of the genetic code in two manners: having more than one tRNA (with a specific anti-codon) for a particular amino acid; and 'wobble' base-pairing, i.e. permitting non-standard base-pairing at the 3rd anti-codon position. The record is from RNAcentral. Lineage: Bacteria; Pseudomonadati; Bacteroidota; Flavobacteriia; Flavobacteriales; Weeksellaceae.